Molecule: long non-coding RNA, 952 nt
Organism: Pan paniscus (pygmy chimpanzee)
Lineage: Eukaryota; Metazoa; Chordata; Mammalia; Primates; Hominidae
Source: Ensembl
GUAGCCAAUAUAAGGGUCACGGUGAACUGCUUAUAAAUGCUAUUAUGUUGUUCAUCUGUUCACGUUUCACAGAUGUCACUGCCACUCUCACCAGCUCCAUCUUCAUCCCGCCGAGUCCCAUCUUCCUUCUCACCAGCCUGGUAUUUUUGAACGUACAUUUGAAUUGCAACAGUCGGCAUCAAGAUGGUGGGAAAUAGCAGUUGAGAUUUCUCAAUUAGAAGAUUGAAAAGUCUAAGGCUGGACAAACAAACAAACAAUGAGAGGUUAAGCCUGAGUUUGGUCUUCUGUUACUUGGAACUGAAAUAAUGUGCAUUGACACACCUAUCAAGUCAAAGUAUUGUCUUUUGCUGGUCUGCUCUGGUCCUGGAAACAUCCACUGAUAGAAUCACUGGUCUGGGACAAAUUGUGGUACCCAAAGACCUCAGGAAGCACUUAGAAGCAUUACUCCUGAAGUCCCAUUCGUCCCAAGAAGAGUUGCUGGCUGGAGGAGACAAUAUGUAAACAUGUCAUGACAAGAUGGUGUGGUGAGUGCUAUGUUGGCAUGUUGGAGGCAAGCAUAGCCAUGCUCACAGUGAGGAAUGACUUAGGAGCGCAACCACAGCCCCAUGCUGCCUUCCACCAUUUGGAUAAAAGAAGGAAAAUGCCUUCAAAUUGUGAUGUUUACUCUGAUGGAUACCCUGACUGGUCAAUGGGAAGACAGGCCACCACCCCCUCCCCUCUGGUCUCUGCAGGAAACAGGUGGCACACACAGAGGAGAGUUACAUCAGAGUGCAGGGCAGGACAAAGGGGACCAGCAAGAAAUGGAGAGGCACCCAGAGGUCAGCCCUUGCAGGAAGCCCUGACCACUCCCAAACUGAAUGGGAAAAGCGGGACAGGUGCUGUUGGACCCCAGAGACAGCUGGGGCAUGGAAAGAGGCUCUGCUUUCCAGAAGCUGUGGGCAGACAGCCAUGA